UUGCUGGGUUCAGCAAAUGGGUAAACUGGAGAACCACAGCACAUGGACUCAACACCCUGCUCCUAGUAAUAUGAAAUUCUUAAUGUUUGACAAGCAAUCACAUUUUUAUUCUAUACUACAUGGGUCCCACAGGUGCUGUAGCUGGUCCUGUUGGGUUUUGAAGAGAAAAUGGAUGCCCACGGUCUUCUCGGGAGACUUACUGGUAGCUGUGUCUUCCUACGGAUUCAGCCUGUGCGGAUUUCAGUUCCACACCGAGUCAGGCAUUCUGUGAAGAAGUUUUCACAGAGGAGUGCUGCCACGCUGCGGAAGAAGGAUGCCUGACUACUGUGCUAACAUCUGGAGUUUGACUACUAUCCUAAUGAACAUCUGGAGUUUCUCAAUACACUUGGAUGGAUGAUUUUUGGAGACGUCAAAAUAAAACUGUAUCAGCAUCAUUUUAGAAAUACCCAGUGUGUCUCAACACCCCACUGACAGCUAAAAGCAUCGUACAAAUACUCAUUAACAGAAAUUUAUAAUGCUCAGUGUUUCUUAUGAAAUAGUAUUUACAUAAUGUUCAUCUCAUAUGUACUCUACUGUUUGUGUGUGCAGCUGCAUAUGUGUGUAUGUGAAGGUUAUAGGUCAAACUCGUGUUGUUCCCCAUGUGCCAUGUACCUCACUCCUUGAAAAAAGGGUCUAGCAUUUGCCUGGAGUUCACCAAGUAGCCUUGACUGACUGGAGAGCCCUAGGGAUAGCUGGGAUGCUCUGGGGACCAGAGUAACCUAGUUUCAUUCUUGUUGUUGUGACAAAGUAUCUUGAAAAAAAUAACUUUAGGGGAAGGGCUUAUUAAGCUUACAAUUCCAGAUUAUGAUUCAUCACUACAGAGAAGUCACAGAAGCAGGACAACUGGUCACAUCACAUCUGCAGUCAAGAGUAAAGAGAAUGAACGCAUUUAUGUUUCCUGCUCCCUUUGAGCUUCUCCUUGUCUUAUACAGUUCACGAUUCUCUGUGUAGGGAAUGGUGUAGCCCACAGGGGGCUGAGUCUUCCCACAUCAAUUAAUAAUCAAGAUAACCUCCCUAGACAUGUAUACAAGAUAACAAGAUCUAGACAAUUCCUCAAAUAAAACCUGUAGAAUGAUGUCAUUAUGCAGGUGAAGGCAGGUACAAGAUAGAACGAGGCCUAUCAUUGGCUGAGAAGGAAGGAUGGGCAGAAGAAAAGUUUUAGAGAGGAGGAUGUUAUGUGCAAUCUAUGAGGAAUUUCUCUUUUGCAAUGGUCCAGUGUUAAGCACAUUAAAGUGUUUGCUUUGGUCCAGUUUCCAAGUACAUAAAAAUUUACACUAUCUCUCACAACAACCGCCCUCUAACUUAACAUCUUACCUCAAUGCCUGACGUUGUGUGGUAUUAGAGAGACAGUAUGUUUCUGUUUGAGUGUAUCACUGCUACAAACAUCACUUGAGUAGCCUAAAGUGCUAAGACACUACAAUAAAGGCAAAUAACAUUAGAUGAUCUUCUACAUAGGCAAAUUCUGCUGAAGUUACGUGGCUUCAGAAGGAAGUGCUCUGCCACUGUCGGCUGAUAAAAGGAACACUCUCCAUGGUGGCAUCAGGGUCUCUCCUUGAGCCCCAUGAGGGUAUGGCCAAGUUUUCUAUCAUCUGAUCCCAUCUUCUCAGUGACAUGGAAAGAGUCCUGGAUUCAAGGCAACCCAACUGAAAGCAUGUCUCUAUGACAAAGAACUCGGACUCUGAGCUCAGAAUAGUACAAAGAGAGACUCUCUGGAGAGCAGAAAAAAACACACUGAGAUGAAAAGUCAUGGGGGAAGAAAGAUGCAUCAAGAGAUGCUCAGGUGAAGAGAAACCUUGAAUUCAGAGGAAAACAAAUGUACUUUGUCACACAAAGAACUGUCAGAGAGAAAAAAAGCAGCGAGUUCAUCUCCUGACAGAACAGAAGCCGCCCCACUCCUUCCUGUGGUUUCUAGGGUUGAACGAAUGGAUCUGUGCAGACCAAGUCACUGGGAGCCCUCUCCUUCCUGUGGGUUCUAAGGUUAGUUCAUGCUCAUCAGAAACUCCCUCCCCCUCCAAGAGAGGGGACGCAUCCCAGCACUGCAGUGCUUCAAGCAUUGGCUCACGGGAGACCUCUCUUAGAUCUCCAGGCUCUUGCCCCCAGCAAACAAACAGAAGUCCUUCCUAGCACAUGUAACUGGCAAAAGCCACCUUGCUAUCUUCUAACUCCUUGUGAUUGUUAACCAGACUUCAUUUAUUUCGAAAGGAGAAUUCUUGGUUUCCAGUUCCCCCCUGGGAUGGUUCACACAUCUCUGCUCGAUGUUUUCCAAAUGUUCCAAUCUUGCUUGGGAUCAAGAUCCAAGAUCUUCCAGAUUUCCAUGGGUCCCACCAUGGGAAAUUUGUUUCUCUGCAGCAGGCUCUUGUGUUGAAACACACCCUGCUGUGUUCUCAUCACUGUGGGCAGGUGGCCAAGGUUUGGGACCAGAUAAACAAGAGACUGAAGCUUGGGCUUUUCUAUUCAUGAAAUUCUUACAGCAGUUCCUGUCUUUUCCUCCUCUGGUGCCACUAAAUCUGUGAGCUCUGUUAAACACCCAGGUUUUGUGCUUUCUGUGAAAAUUUUUUCUACUUACUCAAUGAGUGCAUGUUCUUUCAACACUACACGACUAUCAGAAUGUUCUUUCCCAUGAUAAAUCAUCCUGAUUGUAUAGACAACGAUCUUGUAAACUUUCUUUUUCCAAACUAGAAUUUUCUAUGCUUACGCCUUUAUCUUUAAAGGAGGUUUGAGAGGCACUGAAGAGGUGGCCCAGUGGUUAAGAGCACUGGAUGCUCUUCCAGAGGAUUGGAGACCAACUUUGAGAAGCCACAAGAUGACUCAUAACCAUCUGCAACUUUAGUACCAGGGGACCUGAUGUCUCCUCUGGCCACCGCAGACCCUGCAUGCAUUGUGCACAGACAUGCCUUCAAGCACUCAUAGACAUUUUUUUUUUAAUUUAGAAAAGGUUCUCAGAGAUUAGGAAACUGCUACCAGUUAUGUGUAGGGAAGCCUUAUUUACCCCAGUCCACUGGAGAACUUCCUUUAAGGACCUACACCUCCCCUGUUAAGUAUUAAGUGAAACAGGACUGGGGUCUAUGCAGUUCGCUUGCCAGAGUGCUUGCCUCACUUGCAUAAAGUUCUGAGUUCAAUCCCCAGCAUGGCAUAAGUGGGAUGUGAUGUGCAUUUCUGUAAUCCCAGAACUCUGUAUGUGGAGGCAGGGGGACCAAAAGGUCAAGGUCCAUUUUGAUGGCAUGGUGAUUUCAAAGCCAGUCUGGGGUACAUGAAACCUAUAUCAAGAUGUUAGAUAGAUAGAUAGAUAGAUAGAUAGAUAGAUAGAUAGAUAGAUAAGUAGAUAGAUGACAGACAGACAGAUAGUCAGGGAUGGAUGGCUUAAUGGGUAGAGUUUACUGUUCUCCAAUAUACAAGCUAAUUACUUGUUCCUGUUUUCAUUAAAAAAAAAAAACAACUUAGGCUGAUAAGAUGGUCCAGUGGCUAAUAGCAUUUACUGCCAAGCCUAAUGGCCUGGAUUCAAUUUGAGAAACAACAUGAUAGGAGAGAACUGAGUUCCCAAAACUGCUCUCUGCUCUCCAAAGACAUACAAAGGCACCCCUCUACACACACACACACACACACACACACACACACACACACACACACACACACACACUAAAUAAAUAAAUAAAUAAAUAAAUAAAUAAACAAAAUGUAAUACAAUUUUUAGAUUCCGAUUCACCUUCACCGAUAGAAUUGAAAACAUGAAAGUAGUGUAUGUCAAUGAGGAACUAUGUCACACACACACACACACACACACACACACACACACACACACACAGCGUGAUUUUAAAUUGGGGAAAUCUCAGUCUCCUCAAAUAUGUUCUCAUAUAUCAUUUCUUUAUGUUGAAGGUCUGCAAAAUGCAUUGUUGUGAUGUUUCUUUUUUUUCCUUUUAUUGGAUUUUUUAUUUACAUUUUAAAUGUUUAAAUGUUUCCUGCUUUCCCCUCCAGAAACCUGCUAUCCCAUUCCCCCUCUCCCCCUGCUUCUAGAAGGGUGCUCCCUCACUCACCAACCCACACCCUCCCACAUUCCCCUACACUGGGGCAUUGAGCCUUGGCAGGACCAAGGGCCUCUCCUCCCAUUGAUGCCCGACAAGGCCAUCCUCUGCUACAUAUGUGGAUGGAGCCAUAGGACCAUCCCUAUGUACUCUUGGGAUGGUGGUUUAGUCCUGGGGAGCUCUGUGGGGGUCUGAUUGGUUGAUAUUGUUGUUGUUGUUAUGGGGUCACAAACCCCUUCAGCUCCUUCAGUCCUUUCUCUAACUCCUCCACUGGCAACCCCAUUCUCAGUCCAGUGGUUGGCUGCGAGCAUCCACCUCUGUAUUUGUCAUAAUCUGGCAGAGCCUCUCAGGGACAACUAGAUCAGGCUCCUGUCAGCCUGCAUUGUCGUGUUUCUAAACAAACAGGGUAUGGCUCUCUCCUGUCACUCAGAACGUCUCACUCUUGUCACCUAGGACCUACCACCCACUGACCAGCCUCUUUCCAUCAUCUCAUUGUCUCUCGACUUUCCCGACCCCCACUUUCUGCCUCAAACAUCUGUGAAAUCCACUUCUUUCAGAUGCCGUACACGAGUGUGGUAGAGCAUGGCAUGAGUGUUCCUGUCUGGCUUAUUUUGCUUAGUAUAAUGAGCUCCAUCCAGUCCCAUUAAUCUCAUCUAUUUAAGCUGACUUUACUCCAAGAAAACACACACACACACACACACACACACACACACACACACACACACGAAAAGGUUUAUUUGAGUUCUUUAGCAAAAAAAAAAAAUCACAGUUGACCUCAUUGCACACAAGAUUUUUCAUGCGGGUCAUGAAUCUGUGUGGUCCAAAGACCCUCGGAAUGUGGCUGCAGCUUCUUGUUCUCUGAGAGGGGAAAACUUGACAAGUGCUCAAGUACAUUCUUGAGAGCUAUCUACAUUCCAGCUGGAACAGAAUGCCCCUGGCCUGGAGCCAGCCCACCCCACCUCUCCUACCCCAUAGACCUGGUUGGAGUGUAUAAAUGCUGCAGUCCUCAAAUGACACUGGAAGUUGGGUCUGGUAAGCCAGAGCCAAGGGCUCCCUAUCUCAGCUCACCCACUAGUUUGGCAACAUGGGUUUCUAUUAUCACUUCCUUUCUGAGGUCUCCUCCCAGUAUCAACAGAAAACUUGACAGUAACCACAAUAAUGUCACAUCUAAAAACAAUACGAUACGUGCUAUAAAAGUGCAGGGCUAGCCUUCAAAGUCACACUGGCUUCCUACCUCGAAGUUCAGGGUGGCAUCUUAGUUCCUAAUGCUCUCAGAUGUGUUGCUGAAAGUGCUACACUCCGGCUUUCCCUUGUCUAUUUC
This is a non-coding RNA of Rattus norvegicus (Norway rat), 5379 nucleotides long. NCBI's taxonomy places the organism in Eukaryota, Metazoa, Chordata, Mammalia, Rodentia, Muridae. The record is from RefSeq and is a predicted model, not a curated record.